This is a long non-coding RNA of Ochotona princeps (American pika), 523 nucleotides long. RefSeq lists it as uncharacterized. Lineage: Eukaryota; Metazoa; Chordata; Mammalia; Lagomorpha; Ochotonidae. The transcript is spliced from 2 exons. The record is from RefSeq and is a predicted model, not a curated record.
CUGGCCCCUGUACCUCCUGUGGCAAGCAAGAAAGUCAGAAGGGGCCUCCCUGCCAAAGGCAGCUUCUCCCCAGGAAGAUGGUGGAGGGACAGGGCUGUGAUGGGGAAGUGGAGGUGGGUGUGGGAGACGGAGCCUCAACAGUCAUCCUGGUCCUGCCCAUUGAGAAGUGUGGGCAAAAGAACCCAAUGGGAGGAGCCAACCUGGUGAUGCAGCAGACUGAGCCUGUGCCUGUGGUGCCAGUAUCCUGUAAGGUGUCGGUUCAAGUACUGGCCGCUCUGCUUCCCAUCCAGCUCCCUGCUUAUAACCUGGGAAAGCAGCAGAGAAUGGCCCAAAACCACGGGACCCUGCACCUGUAUGGGAGACCCAGAAGAAGCUCCUGGCUCCUGGUUUCAGAUUGGUUCACUCUGGCCAUUACAGCCACUUGGGGGAAUGAACCAGUGGGUGAAGAUCUUUUUCUCUCUCUCCUUCUUUCUAUGUAACUAUGUCUUGUCAAUAAGAAUAAAUAAAUCUUUAAGAAAAGAGG